GACGAACGCUGGCGGCGUGCUUAACACAUGCAAGUCGAACGGAAAGGCCCCCACCUUGGUGGGGGUGCUCGAGUGGCGAACGGGUGAGUAACACGUGGGUGAUCUGCCCUGUACUUCGGGAUAAGCUUGGGAAACUGGGUCUAAUACCGGAUAGGACCAUGGUUUAGUGUCUCAUGGUGGAAAAAUUAUUGUUUUGGUGCAGGAUGAGCUCGCGGCCUAUCAGCUUGUUGGUGGGGUAAUGGCCUACCAAGGCGUCGACGGGUAGCCGGCCUGAGAGGGUGGACGGCCACAUUGGGACUGAGAUACGGCCCAGACUCCUACGGGAGGCAGCAGUGGGGAAUAUUGCACAAUGGGCGCAAGCCUGAUGCAGCGACGCCGCGUGGGGGAUGACGGCCGUCGGGUUGUAAACUCCUUUCGUUAGGGACGAAGCCACACCUUUUUUGGGUGUGGUGACGGUACCUUUGUGAAGAAGCACCGGCUAACUACGUG
This 489-nucleotide ribosomal RNA is filed under the name uncultured bacterium. RNAcentral describes it as "partial 16S ribosomal RNA". It matches the Rfam family "Bacterial small subunit ribosomal RNA", at positions 28 to 507 of the family's 1533-position model. The record is from RNAcentral.